Molecule: transfer RNA, 85 nt
Filed under: Nephroselmis olivacea
Lineage: Eukaryota; Viridiplantae; Chlorophyta; Nephroselmidophyceae; Nephroselmidales; Nephroselmidaceae
Description: tRNA-Leu
Rfam family: tRNA
About the family: Transfer RNA (tRNA) molecules are approximately 80 nucleotides in length.
Source: RNAcentral
GCCUCCAUGGUGGAAUGGUAUACACGGUUGAUUUAAAAUCAACUCUUCUAACUCGGAGAUGCCGGUUCGAGUCCGGCUGGAGGCA